RNAcentral lists this unclassified non-coding RNA (376 nucleotides) under uncultured fungus. RNAcentral's name for it is "partial contains small subunit ribosomal RNA, internal transcribed spacer 1, and 5.8S ribosomal RNA". The stretch from base 1 to 73 matches the Rfam family "Eukaryotic small subunit ribosomal RNA", at positions 1759 to 1831 of the family's 1831-position model. Lineage: Eukaryota; Fungi. The record is from RNAcentral.
ACAAACUUGGUCAUUUAGAGGAAGUAAAAGUCGUAACAAGGUUUCCGUAGGUGAACCUGCGGAAGGAUCAUUAUUGAAUAAACUUGGUGGGCUGUUGCUGGCUCUUUGGAGCAUGUGCACGCUCAAAACCAUUGUUUUUAUUUCUUUCCACCUGUGCACCUUGUGUAGAUUUGGACAAAUCUCGAGGCCAACUCGGUUUGAGGAGCUGUUGUGCUGCUUCUGGUGGCCAGCUCUCCUUGUAGUCCUGAUCUAUGAAUAUCACAUACUCUUUAGAAUGUCAUGAAUGUAAUCAAUUGGGUUUUCAUAUUGCCCUUUAAACUAUAAUACAACUUUCAACAACGGAUCUCUUGGCUCUCGCAUCGAUGAAGAACGCAGC